GGGAAGGCAAAGAAAUGAUCUCUGUUAGUCUGAUGUGCCAGGGAAGGAACCCUAAUGUGCUGUCCACAGGACCAAACUUCAAGACUAAAUCAGGAUCUGGAAAUCCACUUGUACUACUUAACAAGUUGUCUAACACAUUCACAUCCAGGUCUGUAUACGUUCUUUGCUGUUGUGCUACCAACUGACAAAAGUUCUGAGCAGCUUUUACUAUGUCUGCUUUUCCAUCUUCUGGAGACAGCACCUUCAAUGUAGAUUGGCAAUUUAAAACUUGAUCAGCUUUGUCUUGAUUUGCAAAUUCCACUGUGUAUUUGGAGCAGUCUAAUCCUAAGAGUUCUUGCUCCUGUUUUAAAAUUUCAUCCAUCAGUCUUGAAUUAUUCCUCUUGAAAAUACCGUUGUGGUCGUAGACGCUGACGUAGGAGAUGCCCACCGCCAUGCACCACACCACCAGGCUGGCCAUGUCCGCGUAGCUCGGCUCCUCCUCGGUCACCACCAGACCCACGUGCAGCGGCAGCUUCUGCAGGGCCCGCCCGUCCGCGCGACCCCUCGCUCGAACCCCGGGCCGCCUCCUGCCGGGCCGCCGCACCCCUCGGGCCGCGCCGGGGAAGGCGAGGGCGCGCGCGGCGGGGCCCAGCAAGGCGCAGGAGGCGGCGGCGCGGCGUCGGAGCCAGGCGCGGGGCGCGGCCAGCAGCGCGCGCUGCAGGCAGAGCAAUGCGCGCAGCAGGGCGUGCAGCGCGCGCCACGCCAGGCCCCCCACCGCGCUCAUGGGGAGCGCUCCGCGCACGGCCCGCGACGGCCGCCUUCAGCCGCAGCGCGCCGCACGCCGCGCCAUCGCUUCGCGCGCGUCACAGAGUCCGCGUCUCUCGCCCGGCGCCCGUCGCCCGCACCGCCAUCUUCCUGGCUCCCCUCCUGAUCUUUCACCUCUCACCCCGCCACAUGCGCGGUGCCCGUUGGCCGCCUGGCUAGUGACGUCACUUCCGCCCACGGCGAGCGAAUGACGUGGCCGUACGGGAAGAGGCGGGGAAGGGUGUGGGGGGAGCGGCAUGUCGGGGCCUCGCCCACUGGCGGCCUCGGGGUGUGGCCUUUCUGGGACGUGCGGCGUGUCUCGUUCUGCGCCUCUGCCUUCCUCGUGUGAGCCGUGCCCGCUUAGGCUGACUCGAGUGGGAGGAGGGCCAUGUUUGGGCUCAGAGGGGCAGCCUCGUUCUAGUGUAGCGCCUCUAUCUGGGUGAGGUACAGGAGGCGUUUUGUCUUGGCUUGUAGCUGUGCGUAGGCAUGAGGACCUAUAGGUGCAGGUUCCUAUUCCUCACAGGCAGUAGGUUGUGCAAGAGCCUUCCGCCUUGUCCUGGGCAAAUGGGCUGAAGUGACAAGGGAGGGUGUGCCGUCAGUACAGAGCUGAAUGAAAAGUACAGCAGUGUGAAAAUAUCUUUUCUUAUUGAGAAUGUCCUCCUCAGACCAUUAUUAGCCAACAAAAACAACGCAUUCGAACUGCUAGGAAGCUUGUGCUGUUCCAUAAACAUCUACAUCUUUAUCUACCAACAGUUGUAGCUGAUGACAUGUUCAGAAGUUAAAAUGUAAAGAGGAAUUAAUGUGAGCCUCUUAACGUACGUUGCUUAGUGUGUUAAAAAACUCAAGUGUCAGUGGAUCCUGCAGAGGUGCCAUGGCCCCAUAGCUGAGCUCUGACACCUCACAAAACAGGCAUUACGAAUGGGAGUGAUUAUUCAGUUACGGAAUGCCAGCAGAAGAUAAAGAAUAAUAGAAACUGUUUGCUUUGAAAAGUAAUUUGCUGGUGUGCUUACUCCUCACUUAUCAGCUGAGAUUUAUGAACUGCCAGGAAGCCCCUUAGAUUACUGCUUGUAAUUCGCUGCUUUUAGUGGUAUGGGUAUUCCAAUUUUGUUUAAUUUUCAAGCACUUUGAGAACUGCCUGAUAAAAUUUGCACAUAUAUCAGAUUUGAUGCAUACACCAUGAAGUCCUUUUGUGUUGCAAAAGUCUAGAAGGUUCCCACCAGUGAAAGGGGCACUUGCAGUGUGCGCUUCCAUGUGAACCCAAAGGUAUACAUACAUACAGCAGCUCAACCUGAAUGGCGGUCAAUUCAUUUAUCGGCUACAAAAUAAAUUAUUGCAAUAGCCUUGGCUCAUUGGGCCUUCUCCUGGUUCUAGGCAGAGGUAGAAAAUGGUUUCCUGAGAGCGUCCCUUCUUUUGUUUAAAAUAUUAGAUUUGGAUCAAAUUGACCCCCAGCCUUUUCAUUCACUAAUUAACUUUGGAACAACCAUUAAACCUCAUUAACCGGGACACUGAUUCUUCUGUUUGUUGUACCUGCCAUGAUGAAGAUGAACCCUCUGUGUUUUGCCUGGAGCUCGGUUAAUUUAGUUUACUAUCAUUUCAAAUUGCCUAAAACAAAAAGGCAAAUAUUUCUGGAAAACUGAAAUUAACAUUUCAAAAGCAAGAACCUCCAAAUAGUCCUGGGGAAUUGACCACAUCCAUGUAACUCUCCAUGCUGAGCUGAGUUUAAGUGUAUCAAAUACCACACUACAGACAGAAUAUCUUCACACUGCUGCAGAAUCUUUUUGGAAGACAUCCAGCUUUCUCCUCGGCUUUCUGCUGGUGCUGCACACUGCCCUCCCCUCACAUCCGUUCCUUUGGCCAUCAACACUCCUCUGGUCCUCAGAAGGUCGCAGGUGCAGUUCCAAGGGUUUCCAUCUAAAUAGAGAUGCCGGAGACGAGGUAAAUACUCUAAAACUUUGCG
Molecule: long non-coding RNA, 2740 nt
Filed under: Gallus gallus (chicken)
Lineage: Eukaryota; Metazoa; Chordata; Aves; Galliformes; Phasianidae
Source: RNAcentral